UGGGGAAUAUUGGACAAUGGGCGCAAGCCUGAUCCAGCCAUGCCGCGUGAGUGAUGAAGGCCUUAGGGUUGUAAAGCUCUUUCGCCAGGGACGAUAAUGACGGUACCUGGAUAAGAAGCCCCGGCUAACUUCGUGCCAACAGCCGCGGUAAUACGAAGGGGGCUAGCGUUGUUCGGAAUUACUGGGCGUAAAGCGCAUGUAGGCGGAUCGCUAAGUCAGGGGUGAAAUCCCGAGGCUCAACCUCGGAACUGCCUUUGAUACUGGCGAUCUUGAGUCCGGGAGAGGUGAGUGGAACUCCGAGCGUAGAGGUGAAAUUCGUAGAUAUUCGGAAGAACACCAGUGGCGAAGGCGGCUCACUGGCCCGGUACUGACGCUGAGAUGCGAAAGCGUGGGGGGCAAA
RNAcentral lists this ribosomal RNA (400 nucleotides) under uncultured bacterium. Its description in RNAcentral is "bacterial SSU rRNA". It matches the Rfam family "Bacterial small subunit ribosomal RNA", at positions 355 to 772 of the family's 1533-position model. The record is from RNAcentral.